AGGGUUUGAUCAUGGCUCAGGAUGAACGCUAGCGGCAGGCCUAAUACAUGCAAGUCGGACGGGAUCCAUCGGCGAGCUUGCUCGAAGAUGGUGAGAGUGGCGCACGGGUGCGUAACGCGUGAGCAACCUACCUCUAUCAGGGGGAUAGCCUCUCGAAAGAGAGAUUAACACCGCAUAACAUCAACAGUUCGCAUGUUCGGUUGAUUAAAUAUUUAUAGGAUAGAGAUGGGCUCGCGUGACAUUAGCUAGUUGGUAGGGUAACGGCUUACCAAGGCGACGAUGUCUAGGGGCUCUGANAGGAGAAUCCCCCACACUGGUACUGAGACACGGACCANACUCCUACGGGAGGCAGCAGUAAGGAAUAUUGGUCAAUGGGCGGAAGCCUGAACCAGCCAUGCCGCGUGCAGGAUGACUGCCCUAUGGGUUGUAAACUGCUUUUGUCCAGGAAUA
RNAcentral lists this ribosomal RNA (450 nucleotides) under uncultured bacterium. Its description in RNAcentral is "bacterial SSU rRNA". It matches the Rfam family "Bacterial small subunit ribosomal RNA", at positions 8 to 448 of the family's 1533-position model. The record is from RNAcentral.